Pelobates cultripes (western spadefoot toad) is the source of this 147-nucleotide non-coding RNA. NCBI's taxonomy places the organism in Eukaryota, Metazoa, Chordata, Amphibia, Anura, Pelobatidae. The record is from the annotation of a GenBank genome assembly.
AGCUCCCUUCUCUCUCUUCCGUUCCAGUCAGCUUCCCUGUCAGUUCCACUGCAAGAGCCGUGGGGUCAGAGCGUUGCCACUCACACCGCGAGACUUACAAUGGAGCUGACAGGGGAGCUGACCGGAACGAAGGAGAGAGAAGGGAGC